UACAGAGGGUGCAAGCGUUGUUCGGAAUUAUUGGGCGUAAAGCGCGUGUAGGCGGCUUUGCAAGUCGGGUGUGAAAGCCCUCAGCUCAACUGAGGAAGUGCGCCCGAAACUGCAGAGCUUGAGUGCCGGAGAGGGUGGCGGAAUUCCCCAAAGUAGAGGUGAAAUUCGUAGAUAUGGGGAGGAACACCGGUGGCGAAGGCGGCCACCUGGACGGUAACUGACGCUGAGACGCGAAAGCGUGGGGAGCAAACAGGAUAGAUACCU
RNAcentral lists this ribosomal RNA (264 nucleotides) under uncultured bacterium. RNAcentral describes it as "partial 16S ribosomal RNA". It matches the Rfam family "Bacterial small subunit ribosomal RNA", at positions 524 to 787 of the family's 1533-position model. The record is from RNAcentral.